AACACAAUAAGCACUCCGCCUGGGGAGUACGGUCGCAAGACUGAAACUCAAAGGAAUUGACGGGGACCCGCACAAGCAGCGGAGCAUGUGGUUUAAUUCGAAGCAACGCGAAGAACCUUACCAAGGCUUGACAUCCCCUUGACCGGCACAGAGAUGUGCCCUCUCCUUCGGGAGCAAGGGUGACAGGUGGUGCAUGGUUGUCGUCAGCUCGUGUCGUGAGAUGUUGGGUUAAGUCCCGCAACGAGCGCAACCCUUAUCCUUAGUUGCCAGCAUUUUGGGUGGGCACUCUAAGGAGACUGCCGAUGAUAAAUCGGAGGAAGGUGGGGAUGACGUCAAAUCAUCAUGCCCCUUAUGUCUUGGGCUACACACGUGCUACAAUGGUCGGUACAAAGGGCAGCGAAGGAGUGAUCCGGAGCAAAUCCCAAUAAACCGAUCUCA
Molecule: ribosomal RNA, 438 nt
Filed under: uncultured bacterium
Lineage: Bacteria
Description: bacterial SSU rRNA
Rfam family: Bacterial small subunit ribosomal RNA
Source: RNAcentral